This 254-nucleotide ribosomal RNA is filed under the name uncultured bacterium. RNAcentral's name for it is "partial 16S ribosomal RNA". It matches the Rfam family "Bacterial small subunit ribosomal RNA", at positions 524 to 776 of the family's 1533-position model. The record is from RNAcentral.
UACGGGGGGAGCAAGCGUUGUUCGGAUUUACUGGGCGUAAAGGGCGCGUAGGCGGUCGUGACAAGUCACUUGUGAAAUCUCCGGGCUUAACUCGGAACGGUCAAGUGAUACUGUCGGACUAGAGUACAGAAGGGGCAACUGGAAUUCUCGGUGUAGCGGUGAAAUGCGUAGAUAUCGAGAGGAACACCUGCGGCGAAGGCGGGUUGCUGGGCUGAUACUGACGCUGAGGCGCGAAAGCCAGGGGAGCAAACAGG